Molecule: ribosomal RNA, 584 nt
Filed under: Staphylococcus aureus
Lineage: Bacteria; Bacillati; Bacillota; Bacilli; Caryophanales; Staphylococcaceae
Description: partial 23S ribosomal RNA
Rfam family: Bacterial large subunit ribosomal RNA
Source: RNAcentral
AGGUAGUCAAGAUGAGAAUUCUAAGGUGAGCGAGCGAACUCUCGUUAAGGAACUCGGCAAAAUGACCCCGUAACUUCGGGAGAAGGGGUGCUCUUUAGGGUUAACGCCCAGAAGAGCCGCAGUGAAUAGGCCCAAGCGACUGUUUAUCAAAAACACAGGUCUCUGCUAAACCGUAAGGUGAUGUAUAGGGGCUGACGCCUGCCCGGUGCUGGAAGGUUAAGAGGAGUGGUUAGCUUCUGCGAAGCUACGAAUCGAAGCCCCAGUAAACGGCGGCCGUAACUAUAACGGUCCUAAGGUAGCGAAAUUCCUUGUCGGGUAAGUUCCGACCCGCACGAAAGGCGUAACGAUUUGGGCACUGUCUCAACGAGAGACUCGGUGAAAUCAUAGUACCUGUGAAGAUGCAGGUUACCCGCGACAGGACGGAAAGACCCCGUGGAGCUUUACUGUAGCCUGAUAUUGAAAUUCGGCACAGCUUGUACAGGAUAGGUAGGAGCCUUUGAAACGUGAGCGCUAGCUUACGUGGAGGCGCUGGUGGGAUACUACCCUAGCUGUGUUGGCUUUCUAACCCGCACCACUUAUCGUGG